ACUUCGGAAGGGAUGUAUUUAUUAGAUUAAAAACCAAUGCCCUUCGGGGCUCCUUGGUGAUUCAUGAUAACUCUUCGAAUCGCAUGGCCUUGUGCCGGCGAUGGUUCAUUCAAAUUUCUUCCUUAUCAACUUUCGAUGUUUGGGUAUUGGCCAAACAUGGUUGCAACGGGUAACGGAGGGUUAGGGCUCGACCCCGGAGAAGGAGCCUGAGAAACGGCUACUACAUCCAAGGAAGGCAGCAGGCGCGCAAUUACCCAAUCCCGACACGGGGAGGUAGUGACAAUAAAUACUGAUACAGGGCUCUUUUGGGUCUUGUAAUUGGAAUGAGUACAAUUUAAAUCCCUUAACGAGGAACAAUUGGAGGGCAAGUCUGGUGCCAGCAGCCGCGGUAAUUCCAGCUCCAAUAGCGUAUAUUAAAGUUGUUGUGGUUAAAAAGCUCGUAGUUGAACCUUGGGCCUGGCUGGCCGGUCCGCCUCACCGCGUGUACUGGUCCGGCCGGGCCUUUCCCUCUGUGGAACCCCAUGCCCUUCACUGGGUGUGGCGGGGAAACAGGACUUUUACUUUGAAAAAAUUAGAGUGCUCCAGGCAGGCCUAUGCUCGAAUACAUUAGCAUGGAAUAAUAGAAUAGGACGUGUGGUUCUAUUUUGUUGGUUUCUAGGACCGCCGUAAUGAUUAAUAGGGACAGUCGGGGGCAUCAGUAUUCAAUUGUCAGAGGUGAAAUUCUUGGAUUUAUUGAAGACUAACUACUGCGAAAGCAUUUGCCAAGGAUGUUUUCAUUAAUCAGGAACGAAAGUUAGGGGAUCGAAGACGAUCAGAUACCGUCGUAGUCUUAACCAUAAACUAUGCCGACUAGGGAUCGGACGAUGUUAUUUUUUGACUCGUUCGGCACCUUACGAGAAAUCAAAGUGCUUGGGCUCCAGGGGGAGUAUGGUCGCAACGCUGAAACUUAAAGAAAUUGACGGAAGGGCACCACCAGGGGUGGAGCCUGCGGCUUAAUUUGACCCAACACGGGGAAACUCACCAGGUCCAGACACAAUGAGGAUUGACAGAUUGAGAGCUCUUUCUUGAUUUUGUGGGUGGUGGUGCAUGGCCGUUCUUAGUUGGUGGAGUGAUUUGUCUGCUUAAUUGCGAUAACGAACGAGACCUUAACCUGCUAAAUAGCCCGUAUUGCUUUGGCAGUACGCUGGCUUCUUAGAGGGACUAUCGGCUCAAGCCGAUGGAAGUUUGAGGCAAUAACAGGUCUGUGAUCCCUUAGAUGUUCUGGGCCGCACGCGCGCUACACUGACGGAGCCAGCGAGUUCUCCCUUGGCCGGAAGGUCCGGGUAAUCUUGUUAAACUCCGUCGUGCUGGGGAUAGAGCAUUGCAAUUAUUGCUCUUCAACGAGGAAUCCCUAGUAAGCGCAAGUCAUCAGCUUGCGUUGAUUACGUCCCUGCCCUUUGUACACACCGCCCGUCGCUACUACCGAUUGAAUGGCUCAGUGAGGCGUCCGGACUGGCCCAGAGAGGUGGGCAACUACCCCUCAGGGCCGGAAAGCUCUCCAAACUCGGUCAUUUAGAGGAAGUAAAAGUCGUAACAAAGUC
RNAcentral lists this ribosomal RNA (1580 nucleotides) under metagenome. RNAcentral's name for it is "SSU rRNA". It matches the Rfam family "Eukaryotic small subunit ribosomal RNA", at positions 189 to 1801 of the family's 1831-position model. The record is from RNAcentral.